UUCACAAGCUUGCUCAACUCCUCGUAGAGAAAGAAACCGUUGAUGGAGAAGAGUUCAUGAGUCUCUUCAUUGAUGGAAAAGCUGAACUUUAUGUUUCCUGAUUUCACUUCUAGGCAACAAAAUCUUGUAUAAUAUGUUUCACACAAGCAAGAAAAACGCAAUCAAUUGGCGACUUCAGAAAUAUUAGGAUUUAUAGAAUAUGUAUGUAUAGGCAAGAUACCUGUUACAAUCUUUUUCAAUUUGUUUUUCAGCCACUUUUAAGCUGCUACAUGGCCCGGGAACUGAUAGUAAGAGUAGCAAUCGAAGUGCCAGC
RNAcentral lists this long non-coding RNA (313 nucleotides) under Ricinus communis (castor bean). RNAcentral describes it as "long non-coding RNA (RCOM_LNC000105)". The record is from RNAcentral. Lineage: Eukaryota; Viridiplantae; Streptophyta; Magnoliopsida; Malpighiales; Euphorbiaceae.